RNAcentral lists this ribosomal RNA (202 nucleotides) under uncultured bacterium. RNAcentral's name for it is "partial 16S ribosomal RNA". It matches the Rfam family "Bacterial small subunit ribosomal RNA", at positions 9 to 191 of the family's 1533-position model. The record is from RNAcentral.
GAGUUUGAUUAUGGCUCAGGAUGAACGCUGGCGGCGUGCUUAACACAUGCAAGUCGAACGAANNNUAUAGAGACGAGUAUUUCGGUAUGAGUAACUAUAUGACUGAGUGGCGGACGGGUGNNNNCGCGUGGAUAACCUGCCUCAUACAGGGGGAUAACAGUUAGAAAUGACUGCUAAUACCGCAUAAGCGCACAGUGCUGCA